CCUACGGGUGGCAGCAGUGGGGAAUAUUGGACAAUGGGGGGAACCCUGAUCCAGCCAUGCCGCGUGUGUGAAGAAGGCCCUCGGGUUGUAAAGCACUUUCAGUGAGGAAGAACGCCUGGUGGUUAAUACCCAUCAGGAAAGACAUCACUCACAGAAGAAGCACCGGCUAACUCCGUGCCAGCAGCCGCGGUAAUACGGAGGGUGCGAGCGUUAAUCGGAAUUACUGGGCGUAAAGCGCGCGUAGGUGGCUUGAUAAGCCGGUUGUGAAAGCCCCGGGCUCAACCUGGGAACGGCAUCCGGAACUGUCAAGCUAGAGUGCAGGAGAGGAAGGUAGAAUUCCCGGUGUAGCGGUGAAAUGCGUAGAGAUCGGGAGGAAUACCAGUGGCGAAGGCGGCCUUCUGGACGGACACUGACACUGAGGUGCGAAAGCGUGGGUAGCAAACAGGAUUAGAUACCCUUGUAGU
Molecule: ribosomal RNA, 464 nt
Filed under: Vreelandella stevensii
Lineage: Bacteria; Pseudomonadati; Pseudomonadota; Gammaproteobacteria; Oceanospirillales; Halomonadaceae
Description: partial 16S ribosomal RNA
Rfam family: Bacterial small subunit ribosomal RNA
Source: RNAcentral